GUGGGGAAUCUUCCGCAAUGGACGAAAGUCUGACGGAGCAACGCCGCGUGAGUGAAGAAGGUUUUCGGAUCGUAAAGCUCUUUCGUUAGGGACGAACGUGCUCUUUGUGAAUAAUGAGGAGUAAUGACGGUACCUAAAUAAGAAGCCACGGCUAACUACGUGCCAGCAGCCGCGGUAAUACGUAGGUGGCAAGCGUUGUCCGGAAUUAUUGGGCGUAAAGCGCGCGCAGGCGGGAUAUCAAGUCUGUCUUAAAAGUGCGAGGCUCAACCUCGUGAGGGGACAGAAACUGGUAUUCUUGAGUGUCGGAGAGGAAAGUGGAAUUCCAAGUGUAGUGGUGAAAUGCGUAGAGAUUUGGAAGAACACCAGUGGCGAAGGCGACUUUCUGGACGAUGUCUGACGCUGAGGCGCGAAAGCUAGGGGAGCGAACGGGAUUAGAUACCCCGGUAGUCC
RNAcentral lists this ribosomal RNA (450 nucleotides) under uncultured bacterium. RNAcentral describes it as "partial 16S ribosomal RNA". It matches the Rfam family "Bacterial small subunit ribosomal RNA", at positions 354 to 796 of the family's 1533-position model. The record is from RNAcentral.